GACGAACGCUGGCGGCGUGCUUAACACAUGCAAGUCGAACGGAAAGGCCUGCUUUCCCUUGUGGAUUGCGGGUACUCGAGUGGCUAACGGGUGAGUAACACGUGAGUGAUCUGCCCCCAACUUGGGUAUAAGCCUGGGAAACUGGGUCUAAUUCCCGAUAGGACUGCAGGGUGGUGCCUGUGGUGGAAAACGAUUUUCUAGUGGUUGGGGAUGAGCUCGCGGCCUAUCAGCUUGUUGGUGGGGUAAUGGCCUACCAAGGCGGCGACGGGUAGCCGGCCUGAGAGGGUGGACGGCCACAUUGGGACUGAGAGACGGCCCAGACUCCUACGGGAGGCAGCAGUGGGGAAUAUUGCACAAUGGGCGGAAGCCUGAUGCAGCGACGCAGCGUGGGGGAUGACGGCCUUCGGGUUGUAAACUCCUUUCGACCGCGAGGAAGCCACCUGGUUGGAAGGGUGGUGACGGUAGUGGUAGAAGAAGCACCGGCUAACUACGUG
Molecule: ribosomal RNA, 494 nt
Filed under: uncultured bacterium
Lineage: Bacteria
Description: partial 16S ribosomal RNA
Rfam family: Bacterial small subunit ribosomal RNA
Source: RNAcentral